UUUUCCCAGUAGUGAUGUAUGGAAGUGAGAGCUGGACCAUAAAGAAGGCUGAUCGCCGAAGAAUUGAUGCUUUUGAACUGUGGUGCUGGAGGAGACUCUUGAGAGUCCCAUGGACUGCAAGAAGAUCAAACGUAUCCAUUCUUAAGGAAAUCAGCCCUGAGUGCUCACUGGAAGGACAGAUCGUGAAGCUGAGGCUCCAAUACUUUGGCCACCUCAUGAGAAGAGAAGACUCCCUGGAAAAGACCCUGAUGUUGGGAAAGAUUGAGGGCACAAGAAGAAGGGGACGACAGAGGACAAGAUGGUUAGACAGCGUUCUCGAAGCUACAAACAUGAGUCUGACCAAACUGCAGGAGGCAGUGGAAGAUAGGAGUGCCUGGCGUGCUCUGGUCCAUGGGGUCAUGAAGAGUCGGACACGACUAAACGACUAAACAACAACAAGUAAAUGUUGGAAGCUGAACAUUGAAAGAUACAGGGCAUACAAAAGGAAGUACUACAAGCAUGGUUAAGCUUUGGCAUUUGCCCCUACAAGAGGUUGUGAUGGGCAGCAACGUAAUUGGCAUUAAAAGAGGAUUAGACAAAUUCAUGGAGGAUAAGGCUAUGAAUAGCUACUAGCCACCACUGUUGGAGGCAGCAUGCCUCUGAACACCAGUUGCCUGGAAUCACAGGUGGAGUGUGUGUUGCUGAGGUCAGGAUUUGCUUGCACCUUUCAGGUUUCCUAUUGCCAUCUGGUUGGCCAAUGGGACAGUAAUAUAUCUGUUCAGUAUAAUGCAAUUGUUUUCAAACCAUGGGAUGUGGCUGCCUCUCGAGAAGAAGAAGAAGCCAAGAUCUAGGUGGGUUCAAUGUUGCCUGGAAGUGAUCUUGUGAGUAAAGCCCCAACAUCACAAUGUAGUUUAGGAAGAAGGACAUUGUUCUGUUUCACUGUGUAUGACUGGAUAGCUCAAUUGGUUAAAGUGUGGUGCUGAUCACGCCAAGGUUGCAGGUCCGAUCCCCUUAUGGGACAGCUGCAUAUUCUUGAAUUGCAGGAGGUUAGACUAGAUGAUCCUCAGAGUCCCUUCCAACUCUAUGACCCUCAGACAAAUGAAACAGAAUUUGCGACCCAGCUGAAGGAGGAGAUGAGAGGUAUCUUCCUCUUUUCCUGUUCUAAUGCCAGGGUGGGAUUACGACCCCAGCCCACAGGUGGUUGCAUACACACCACUACACUGAAGGAUCUCUGCAAAGUGAGGAACAGAGGACUGGUGCUGGGUUGCGGGGUUACAGAAAUUAGUUUAGAAGGGGGCUGGCUGAAUUUAGAGGGGGGGUUUUACAAGCUGUGAUAUGAUGGCUAAGGGAGAUGUCUGCCUCUCCCCUAUUAGCAUACAACAAGGCACAAGGAAUGAUGAGAUUGGUGCAAAGGAGGGAAGGAAGGUCAGGAUCAAGUGUGGCAGGUGGAACAUUUUGAUAUUGCAUCAAAAGCAUCAGAUUCCUAAGAAAAGCCUUUGAUUCCCUGAUUGUAAUGUAAAGAGCAGUGGCUUUAAACCCUCUUGAAAAACCCACCUUAACAUAAUCCAGGAGAGAAGAACCUCUUCUGAGUACCAGGCUUGGGCAUGAAAGCACUUGUGUCUCCAGCUGCCAUUAUCACUGUUAAAGGAAGGACAAGUUCUAGGAAGCUGUAAAAAAAUAAAAUAAAAUCAGGGUGUCUGCAUCUCUGAGCAAAACAACUGAUAGGCUGCAUGUUUUUCUAAGCCCUUACCUUGAAGGAGAUCAUUUGACUUUAAUAGGAUUAUUUCAGACCCUCUGGUUACAGGGUUGCAGCCCUGAGGAGCUUAAUAUUAUCUACUGUCUUGAGGACAAACCUUCAGAAAGGUCAGCAUGUUCUUAGCUGUGAAAACUUUGCAUGCAGAAAAUGUGAGAAGCAGCUAAUGAGCAAAGCAUCUAGUCGCUUCAGAAGGUUACACUUCAUUUGGGAGUUUUAUACCUUUACAUGACUGUAACCUAGAGAGAUUGGCAGGAAUAGUCCGUCUGGAAAGGCAUUGCUUCAGCUUUCAGGCAGGCCUUUCCAGUUUGGAAAUUUGGUACAAAACUGAAAGUGUGCAAAAGCAACUGGAAAAGAAGGAAAGAGACUUGUCCAUUGCCUUAUUGAAAUUAGUGGACCUAACAUAUUCAUGUUCAUUGAAUUCAGUGGAUCCACUUUGAGUAAAAUUUAAUUGAAUACCACCCAUCCUUGUGCACAAUUAUUAUUAUUCAUCACUUUAAAAACUAAAUGUAACCUAAAGUGACUUACAAAAAAGUAGCACAUAAAUUAAAGCCAACAUAAAACUAAAGCUAAAAGCAGAUUCAUAGUCAUUAAAAAGCAUAUUUAUAAAAAGUUUCUGAAGGAGACCACAAAUAUCAAUCCCUUCCAAAUUAAAGGCCAAAGAAAGGCCUGGCAGGAGGGGGGAGGGAACCCACCAUUUUUGCCUCACACCUAAAAAUAGCUUGUGAUGGCGCCAGGCCUGCAGAUCCUCAGUAGGGCUUGUCAGCAGCAGCACAUUUCUUUAUCAACUUCAUGUCAGGCAGAAAUUCAACAGGUGGUGCACUACUUCUCACACAUCUAUAUUCUUGGAGGGGGCGGGAUAAGUGGCAUCUUAAAGGCUAACUAGUUUUAUUAGGGCUGAUGCAUUGGGUGGCAGGAUCCUCAAAGAUGUCCUCUAUGGGAAGCUGGCUUUGGGCACCAGACUUGUUGGCAGACUAACUCUGUGUUACAAAGCUGGCAACAUUAACCCCACCAUAUGGGAAUCCCUUGCAGAUGACAGCAGCAUCAGGAGACAAUCAGUCGGGUUGUGUAUCCAAAGCAGGGACCAGAGGAAGAAUGACCAUUGGGAGGAGCGCAGAAAGAAGAAAUGCCAUGGUACACCUGCGUCAGCACAACUGGAUGCCUUCAUCUGCCCCAACUGCAACAAAACAUGUCUCUUCUGUAUCAGUCUGUACAGCCACAGCAGGCGCUGUAACUCCAAUGGCUUGACCUCACCCCCAAAGGCACACUCCUCCAUCGUCACCCAAGACAGACAAGUGCCAAGCAUGCAUUGGAUAAAAGUGCCACAUGCAAGACCCCUUGUUGCAACAAACAAACAUGGCUCCCCCCCCCAUUUCCACGAAAGGUCCCUCAAAGGGGCUAUGAAACUUCAGUAGUUCUGUGCUCCUGGCUUCUUUAGAACUGCAGCCCCUUCAGACUUCAGCUGAGGGCAAUCUGAAUGAACAGCAAGCUGGAUGCAUCUGGCAAAUUACCUGCUGGUGAGCAAGUUUUGCUUUGAGUGACAGGGCUGUGUGCCUGUAACCCUAAACAUCACAUUGAAGGCCUUUAUCCUCAAGCCAAGUUUACAGAUUUCAUAAAGGCAUUAAACAAACAGUGCAAUGUUUUCACAUAAACAAACUUAGCUAGCAAAAAUAUUUGCUCCAUUUCCUUUUCCUUUCGUUAGACUUUGUGUGAUUAAUACCUGUGUGUCAGUUAAUGUUUCCCAAAGCUGUCAGCUUCCCUCAUUAGUACUUUGGUGGAAACACCAGGCCAUGCAAAUUACUCUUAGGCCCAAUUACAAGUGGGCAAAUCAAAAUAGUAAGCACUGGUGAGGAAUGCCAGCAGCAGGAUUCCUGCAUAUUUAACAGCCAGGAAGAAAUUCUGUACUCCUCACAUAUUUCUUUUCCGGGCAGAAGACAGGCAAAUGCCAUGCAGGCUGAGGAACAGACAGUUUAUAUUGUUACCAGUUUAUUCUUUAAGCACAGUUGCAAUCGCCUCGCAGUAUAGCUCAACAGAACAAAGUUUCAGGUGACUGAGCCAUGGUUUUGUGGGAAAUCUGUGGGAGAAAUAGGAGCAUUUCACUUAAACCUGUCAUCAUUGCAAAACAAUAGUGAUACUCUUUUAUCUGACAGAUCUCUGCUUUCUUUGGCAUUUAUGAUUUACAUAAAGCAAGUGCCUGUUUUCUCAGCUCUAUCCAAGUGCCUUCACAUGUCUUCAACUUUUCUUGGCCUCUAUAAUACUUCCCAAGGGUAUUCUCAUUAUAAGCUCAAAAACGGGCCUCAGCAACAAAUCCGGUGCUAUGUCUCUAAUUCCUAUCACAAUACCAGGAUGGCAUGGAAAAUAUAGAACAAGUUGGACUUCUCAGUUUAGUCUUCAUCAUCAAUGGCACUUGUGUACCUCCAGUUAAGGAAAACUGGAGAUGUCUUGUUUGGAUAUAGUAUCUUGGGUAGGGAUGGAAGGAUCUGUCAAUGUUGCUUCUCUCAGUUUCUCAUUCUUCCAAUCUUAAAUUCAGUUCUCCACAUAUCUGUAGCAAUUUGUGAUUUUUUUUUAAUCCUCAUGAAAAUUCACAUUUUAGUGUGAAUGUCUGCCAAUCUACAUAUUUUUGUAUGCAGGUUUGACUAACUUACACAUGUCUGAAAGCAUUUCCCCUUACUAUAAUGUAUGUUUGCAUGUUAUUUCCAUAUAUGCAUUUUAUACAAGCAUUCUCCUAAUUUAUGCACGUUUGUACACAUUGGUUGGAGAACUGCAUCGCAAAAUCAGAGAAGAGUGAAGUCUGUAGGAAAAUUGUGAUUUAGUUCACUUAUUGGUUCACUAUGUGCAAAUUAGUUUCUCAUUCAAAUGAAAACAAAAUUGAAUUUUCCCUCCAUCCCUAGACCCAACCCCACAUUUACUCUUAACUGCUAAAAUAAGGCCUGGACAAUAGAAUCACAGGUAGAAGUCAAGGUUGUAAAAAGUUUGGUGAAUGAGCUUUCUUUUAGAUUUUUUCCCCCUUACACAUGCCAUUAAUCUUUCAGAGAGCUUGAUUUCCCUAAAUACCAGCACUCUUCUGCCAGUGGUUAUGGAUCAGUUUGUUCUCGGGAACCUCUGAAGCAUGUUGGAAUGUCUGGGCUCAUUUGGGUGCAUUUUCUGUAGUUUGCAAUAUGAUCUCUGAAGGCUCUGGGGGCCUAGCAAAAACACAGAAAUGCCUCGAAUAGAUGCUUGAUAAUAGACUGAUGCAUAUAAUGGUGGCUUCUGUCACAGAAGAGUUUUUGAAGUCAACCUUCCCUCCCACAUAUGAUAGUUAACUGAGCCUCAGUUAACUCACAGAUAGCUCACAGAGCUAUCUAUUGGGAUUUAAACCCCAAUCUAUUUUUGGACACACCUACUAGUCAUGGAAGAAUGGUAUAGAGAGGUGUGGGAUACAGCUAUGAAUGAUAAAUUAACACAUGCUGUUAAGGUAAGAUGGGGAAUAUGCAGGAGAAAUGAUUUUGAGGAGAUAUGGAAGGUAUCUGUAGAAUUUGUACUCUUAAAACGGAAAGGAGUCAAUCCAUCGCAAGAGGUGUUGAAAUUUUGAGAGGUUGGAUAGUUACAAUGGAAUGGUCUCGGGUGGGGUGCACAUUUUUAUUUUUAUGUAUUUAUUAUUACAGCUUUGUCAAAAGAAAAAAGAAAAGAAAACAAAGAAAGAAAACGGUUUCUCCGUGCAAACAAGGAAGUGAUCUCUGAUAUCUUCCACGUUUUUAUGUGAUCUCUCACACAAUGUAAGAGACACUGCUGGAAAUCUAGUGCAAGGCUAGCACUCAUUUCUGUGUUAAUUGUUUCCAGGAAAAAAAGCAUCUAUUUACAACCCUGUUAAGUUGGAAAAUUGGGGGAGUUUUGAAUUGUAAUUUCAUGUGUCAAAAUCUGGGCCGGUGUCCUGGCAUACUUUUGUUUCCACCAUUUAAUAUUUAAUGCAAUGUGGAAGGAUAUAGAUUAAAAAGCCACAGAACCGUAAUGCAACAGGUAAUACAGUUUAGGAGGAAAGCUAGAAAUUGGGCUAGAAGUGCAAGCAUUAUAACCUGACCUUGACCUCGAAAGGCAGGGAAAGAGGGAGCAGCCAAGUCUUCCAAGGCAGGAAGUCUGCAAGCUUCAGCACCACUGAGGUCUUCUCUAUGUACCCUCCCAUCAUCCACAACAAACUACUCCAAGAGAAUCAAUUUGCCAAGUACUAAGGAUGGUUUUAGGUCAGGCAUCUGGAACAUAUUUGUGGGAGGUUGCGUAGUAAAAUCCAUAUAUCUGUACUAAGGCAGGGAGAACCUGUCAGUUUGGGUUUCUCUCGGUUUCUCAUUUUUCCGGACUUGAGUUCACUUCUCCACAUUUCCACAUCAGUUUGCAGUUGAUUUAUUUGUUUAUUUUAAAGGGAUCCUUGUGAAAAAUCACCAGCAUUUUAAUAAGACUUUCUGCUAAUAUACACAUUUUUUGUAUGUAAUAUGGCCUAUUAUUCACAUUUUUCCAAAAUAAUUUCCCCUACCAUAAUAUUUUUAUUUGUCAGUAUUUGUGUUUUCAUGUUCCUGUUGCCCUCAUAAAUACUUUUUUGCAUUAAUUACUUGACUGAAUAACUACAUAACUACAAAGUUUGGAGACGUGCAAAUUUUGAAUGAUGACCGAUUCAGUUCGUGUAUUUUUUCAGGAGGUGUGUUAGGUUCACCUUUAGAUGUGAACCUUAUACUCUGGUUUCUCUUCAGAUCAUAUACCUCUGAAUCUUAUUUCUCCUCAUCCUUGAUCUCUAUGGAUAGAGUGUUUACACACACACACACACACACACACACACACACACACACUUCUCUUUUCAUUUCCUUUUUCUCUACAACCUAGGGAUUCAUGGAGAAGGAAUUUUAAGCCACCGAUAUGCAAACAAUGACAUUUGAACAUAGAGACACAUUAGGGACUGCACACCUUUGUUGCCUGAGCAAACCUGGAUAAAUUAAAGAGUGUGGUUGCUGCUUGUGAAUGUUCCACACUCAUGGUUCCCACCCAAAUGGCGAUGUUCCCUUUUCACAUUCUGUCUAACUUUGCAGGCGCACGGGAAAGAAAACUGGUUGCAUCUGGUUGAAGCGAUCCAAUAUCAGAUGAUUUCUCAACUCCCCAGCGAUGCACCAUGCCAAAAAAGUAAAUCUGCCAGACCUCCCAAGAACACCAGAGAGCUUUCCUCUCCUGCUCUCCCUCUCAGCAACAGUAAAAUGGGGGGGGGGGUGAGACAGAUAAGAUCGCUUCUUAUCUUAAAGGGGUGUCCUUAAUUCAGUUACAUUUUCAAAGGGAGGACUGUCUCUCAGAACCCAGUGUCCUUCUUUGGAUUUGACCCUUUGACUGUUGCUUAUACAGUAAAAGAAAAAAGAGUGUGGAAAUGGAUGAUGAUGAUUAAAAACUCACCUGAAUGGUCAGGGAUGCUGGGAGUUGUAGUCCCCCAUCUGGUGAAUCUGACUGUAGGUUUAGAGACAACAAAUCGUUUUAAAAUCACCAAAGCAAGCAUUCCUGUCUGCCCAUUGUUGAAUUCUCUUUAAGAUGCUGAAAGUCACGUGAAAGGGCAAUAGUUGCUUGAAAUGCACAUGUGGCUGCGUUUAAGUAAGCAGCACUGUGAUGUGGGGAGAGUGCUGUUGUACUAAUGUCCUGCUUUGAGGUUUCUCUCACUGCAAGAAGCAAAGUUACAAGGAACCAAGCAGAGGGCCUUCUCAGUAGUGGCGCCUGCCCUGUGGAAUGCACUCCCAUCAGAUGUCAAGGAAAUAAGCAACUAUCCUACUUUUAAAAGACAUCUGAAGGCAGCCCUGUUUAUGGAAGUUUUUAAUGUUUAAUGCUAUAUUGUAUUUUUAAUAAUUAAUUGGGAGCCGCCCAAAUUCUUCUUCUUCUUCUUCUUCUUCUUCUUCUUCUUCUUCUUCUUCUUCUUCUUCACAUGGGCAUCUUGUUCGCCACUGUGAUGGGCCUUUGGUUUGACCCAGCAGGGCUCUCCUUACAUUAUUAUGGUUAUGGGAUUACCAGAGAAAUCCUAUAAACAAGAAGCUGGCAUAAAGCAAGCCAGUGCAAGUUAAACUUGUGUAAAGUGCAUCUGGGGCAGGACUAAAAGGUAAAAAUAGGUAAAGGACCCCUGGACGGUUAAGUCCAGUCGAAGGGGCCUAUGGGGUUGUGGCACUCAUCUUGCUUUGAGGCUGAGGGAGCUGGCGUUUGUCUACAGACAGGUUUCCGGGGCAUGUGGCCAGCAUGACUAAACCGCUUCUGCCACAAUGGAACACCAUGAUGGAAGCCAGAGCGCAUGGAAAUGCCGUUUACCUUCCCUCCGCAGCAGUAUCUGUUUAUCUACUUGCACUGGCAUGCUUUUGAACUGCUAGGUUGGCAGGAGCUGGGACAGAGCAACGGGAGCUCACCCCAUCAUGGGGAUUCGAACCGCCAACCUUCCGAUCAGCAAACCCAAUAGGCUCAGUGAUUUAGACCACAAUGCCACUCAUGUCCCUGGGGCAGGACUACUGCUGGCUGAGACAGACUAAGCUUGGCAGAGGAAAAUAAAACCAUUUAAAGGAGUGUUUGUGUUACACCACCCUUUUUUACCAGCUUAACUUUUGCUGUGGGUAAGGUUGCCAAGUUACGGUACAUCACUGAUCUGAACAGGCUUAGCAUCCAACCUAAGUCUCCCCUCUGUGGUCGUGCCCUGUCCUUUUUGUGGAGGCUUACGCUAGCUUAAGAUCAGCCAGGUUUGGCUCAGCCAGCUAGGUCCCAGCUCAGCUGGGUCUGGGAUGGGGAAAAUAUGUUGUGUAGAUCCCCCUGAGCCUAGGAUGUGGAUUUAUGCUGGUAUGACCCAGCUACGCCAGGAGCCUCCUGGCUCAGCUAGAGGCCCACUGGUUCCUAGCCCAACUCAUCCCAGCAGAUCUUGCUAUAUGAUUGCUUCCCCAGUCACUAAGGCGAAGAAGGGCAAUUUAGAGAUGGGACAAUUCUCCUGGAUUAGUUUCAUGAAUGAUUCCAACAUAUCAAGGACCAUGCACAAAUUUUGUAAACUGUUUCGAGGUGCUUUUUAAAAAACAACAAUAAUCAAGCAGUGUAUUAAUUUUAUGUAAUAAGUAAGUAAGUGUAAAAGCUGAAGUGAAUUUUUAAUCGGCUUUACUAUUCUAACUUCUUGUAUGUUUUAAUGUAUUGUGAUGUGUUCCUGAUGUUAUGGUUGUAUCUUUUUGUAAACUGCUUUGAGAUUUUUUACAAUCAAGUGGUGUACAAAUUUUAUUAAAUAAAAAUUAAAUGAAUGAAUGAAUGAAUGAUGUGUCACGAUACCGUGUAGCUAAGACUGACCUGUGUUUCAUAUCACUGAAGACACUUGAGACUGGUAGGAGCAGAGCGCAAGGCAAAUUAACAGGCAAACAAUGUUGCAAUGAAUGCAAAAAGAUAAUCAAAAAGGGGAGUCGUUUUCCUAAACUGUAUAUAAAGUUUCACUCAGCCCAGUGAUAUGAACUAUAUGCCCUCAUUUCAUUCAUAAAUUCAUCCAAAACUGACAAUGAAAAAGGAGCCAAUAUUCUGUUUUGAGUAUUGUGAGUAAUAUGAGAAGGAGAGGAACAUAAUAGAAGGAGUGGGAGAGAGUGAAGGGAAAUAAUUUUCAGUUAUGCAUAUAUUUUAAUGUAGGAAAUAAUUCAUUCUUGAGUAGCCUGUAUCCCUUUGAAAUCUUUAGUGUUCAUAUGAAUAAAACAUUGGGGGGGGGGGGAACACACCAAAAGAUUCAGCGUCAACAUUGUGUAAAGCGACUGAUGACCCACUCAAAAGGCAGAGUGGAAUGGAUUAAAAAUCUGUCAUCCCAGUUAAGCAGAAAACCAUGCUCAACAAUGUACUGUACCUGAAAGUGAAGAAGGAAUGUGUUGCUUUCCGUUCUCUUACAGGCUGCUAUCUAAUAUGACACCCGAU
Podarcis lilfordi (Lilford's wall lizard) is the source of this 9634-nucleotide non-coding RNA. NCBI's taxonomy places the organism in Eukaryota, Metazoa, Chordata, Lepidosauria, Squamata, Lacertidae. The record is from the annotation of a GenBank genome assembly.